AAGAUCAAGCACAAGCAAGUCAAACACCAAGAUUUAUAGUAAUUCGGUGCCAAUCAUAUACCUAUGUCCACUCCCCAAGGCUUACUCCUUGAGAAGUUUACUAUAAUCUAUAAACGAGAUUACAGCUCAGUUAUUUUCUAGGCUCACAACCAAACUUAGUUGAUUUUCUAUGGCAAUCAACCAAAACCAAAUUCGAGUUCCAACAUUUGGGAACUCGUUGCUAAUUUCUAAGCUCAACAAGACUUAGUUGAUUUUUUAAGGCAAUCCACCAUAACCUAAAUGUUUAAGGGGUACAUCCAAAUCUUACAAGCUAGUUAUUUUUUCACAGGAACAGCUACACCAAAGAUCCUGCAUGGGAUUCUCUAAUUUCGUGCACUAAAGAAAGAUAGAAAAUACAUGCAAAGUAACAUCUUCAAAGAUUGGAUUAAUGCCGUCGAAGCUUUAGUUUGAAUGCUCUUAAAGUUAGGAUCUUGGUGAACAAAAUUC
This 486-nucleotide long non-coding RNA is filed under the name Phoenix dactylifera (date palm). Its description in RNAcentral is "long non-coding RNA (PDAC_LNC004460)". Lineage: Eukaryota; Viridiplantae; Streptophyta; Magnoliopsida; Arecales; Arecaceae. The record is from RNAcentral.